UCACAUUACACAAGGACCUUAAGGGACAUACAUACACUUAUAAUUCUAACAGCUUUUAUGUUAGUAGAGUAUUUAGACUAAUAGGCCUGUCUUUGUCUGCAAUAUUUGUUGGAUGGCGUCACAGGGUUUCCUCGGUAACGCGCUCUUGAAUUCCACACACAGAGCUGUGUGAAUUUCAGUACGAGGGGACAGGACGACUGGACAGGGGUUGUACAGCCAGGCAAAUUGACGUAGCCCGUCUCCCUAGGUUUGUUGCUGAGGCGGCAGUUGCGGUAGUGGCAGAGGUCAACCAUGGCGGACAUCAGUGAGCAGUGCACACCCAUCGUGGUGUACCAGGAGGACGUGAGCGAGAACCCUGUCACUGCGCGAAGCCAGAAGGAGAGCCUACAAGAGGCCUCACACACUCCAGCCUCUUGUCUGGUGGGUUCAAUAGGGUCCCUCAGUGCAAGGAUUGCCCGUUUGCCUCCCCUCUUCAGCUCUAUGGGUUAUGACUGCGGACAGACGCUACAUACUCACCUAGCUGCUAUCGCAGAGGGCAAAGACAGACAAGACAAGGCGGGGUCAAAGUUCACACGGCUGUCGUCCCAGCAGGACUCGUCCACGUCGCUGCAGAAUCGCCGGCACAACAUGCCAGCUGAAAAGCGUGAGGUGGGCAUGCCCAAGCUGGUGGAGCUGUAUCAGUACCCAGGGUUCAGAGAUGACAUGCCCAUGCCCCUGCCACACAGCAACACCUUUUCUACCAUCAUUACCCACGUAGUGAGGGCACAGCCACACCUCACCGACAAGCCCAGGUACAAGGCAGUGUUCCUAAGCAUCCUAUCUUCUUCUAUGAUGGAGGACUUUGUCAUGGACUCCUUCUGGUGGCUGUUUCUACAGCACUUCCAGCCAGACGCACGCAUACAGGACAGCCUCUUUGCACGAAUCGCAGAGAAUUACAUCCGAAUCCUGACCCAGAGUCUAACAUCACGCAGUGGCAAGUGGUUUCUCAGGGAGUUCCCCAGUACUCUGGCCCAGACCCUGUACUGCUGCUUCUGCUGUUGUUUCCCUCAGUCCUGCAGAACCCUCCGCAGUGACACCUUCCUCAUCCCACUGUGCUUUACUGCCUACCAGUGGACAGGAGGUAUCUGUCCUGCCCCUGAUGUUUUUAAAAAGUGGGAUUUCGAGGCUCUGGAGCCAGAGGAGGCCACUCAUGUUCAGUUUGUUUCUGGGAACAAGAGGAAUGAGAAAGAGAGUGACUCAUGUCUGUCUCUCCUAGACAGUAUGUUCUCCAGUGCCUAUGUUGAUGAGCCCUUUCAUAGUAAAUUGACCAGCAGUGCCACCACUCUACUGAGGAACAAACCGAGCUCAUUGCUGACCAGUAGUAGUCACACCACUCUGGAGAGCCAGCCAUCUAAAAGCACAGUUAACACAACCAGCACUACCUCAGGCUCGGAAGAGAAGACCGUGGGCUCAGCGAACAUCACAGGGUCAGACCUGAAGGCCCUGACUGGACAGGCCAACCAGACACCUGCCAGAGAGUCCCAAGUAGCCUACCCGGACAUGGCGUUUAAGCGCAGUGUGUUUAACGUGUAUGGCAACAGUCCUCUGGUGCAGUACUACAUGCGUGUUCUCCACAUGGACCCCAAGGUGGGACAGGACGUACUGGUGGUCCGGACCGAGAUCAGCAAGCUGCCUCCAUAUCCUCACAAUGAUAAUAAUGGAGUGUGUGUGUGUGUGUGUGUGUAAUGUGUAUGUGUGUGUCCCGGCGCCAAACAUGUACCCCACAGAUCAUUCUGUUGAUAAAGUUAGAGGGUACUCCUGUAUUAGCCAUUCUGCCACCCGCAUCCACAUACAGGGCCUUCAGAAAGUAUUCAUGCCCUUGACUUAUUCUACAUGUGUUGUAUUACAGCCUGAAUUCAAAAUGGAUUCAAUAUAUUUUUUCUCACCCAUCUACACACAAUGCCCCAUAAUGACAAAGUGAGAACAUGUUUUUAGAAAUAUCUGCAGAUUUAUUGAAAAUUAAAUACAGAAAGAUCUCAUUUACAUAAGUAUUCACACCCUUGGGUCAAUACUUAGAAAGAUUGGUGCCAAAGGUGUUUUUACUAAGAGCUUUCCACACCUGGAUUUGCCCAUUAUUCUUUUAAAAAUGAUGCAAGCUCUUUUAAAUUGGUUGUUGAUCAUUGCCAGACAACCAUUUUCAGCUAUUUGCCAUAGAUGUUCAAGUAGAUUUAAGUCUAAACUGUAUCUUGGCCACUCAGGAACAUUCUUGGUAAGCAACUCCAGUGUAGAUUUGGCAUUGUGUAUUAGGUUAUUUUCCUGCUGAAAGGUGAAUUCAUCUCCCAGUGUCUGGUGGAAAGCAGACUGAACCAGGUUUUCCUCUAACCUUUUUCCUGUGCUUAGCUCCAUUCCAUAUUUUUUUUAUCCUGAAACCCUCCCCAGUCCUUAACAAUUACAAGCAUGACCAUAACAUGGUGCAGCCACCACUGAUUGAAAAUAUGGAGAUUAGUACUCAGUAAUGUGAUGUAUUGGAUUUGCCCCAAACAUAAAACUUUGUUUUCAGGACAAAAAGUCAAUUGCUUUGCCACAUUUUUUGCAGUAUUACUUUAGUGCCUUAUUGCAAACAGGAUGCAUGUUUUGGAAUAUUUGGUUUCCUUCCUCAGUUAGAAAGGACACCUGAAUCUUUGAAGUGACUGGGUGUAUUGAUACACCAUCCAAAGUGUAUUUAAUAACUUCACCAUGUUCAAAGGGAUAUUCAAUGUCUGCAUUUUUUUUUACCCAUCUACCAAUAGUUGCCUUUCUUUGCGAGGCAUUGGAAAACCUCCCGGGUCUUUGUGGUUGAAUGUGUUUGAAAUUCACUGCUCUACUGAGGGACCUUACAGAUAAUUGUGUGUGGGGUACAGAGAUGAGACUGUAACACAACAAAAUGCUGAAAAAGUCAAGGGGUGUGAAUACUUUCUGAUGGCGCUGUACAUGACAUCACAGCCAGUGUUCCUUCCUUGACCCCUUGGUGAUGUUACGGCUGGAUCAGUGACGUACAGGGACAUUCUGAGUAAGGCCCAGGAGCGUUCUGUGGCCCACCGCAGGGACCUCAGGACCAUGUGGGGCCAAUACUCCAAGGACCUCUAUGUUCUCAACCAGAGGAAGCUGGACGAGCGCUAUGAAACCUUCAGG
This is an RNA transcript of Oncorhynchus nerka (sockeye salmon), 3150 nucleotides long. It is a transcript of the gene named protein FAM227A, with no coding region annotated. The record is from RefSeq and is a predicted model, not a curated record. NCBI's taxonomy places the organism in Eukaryota, Metazoa, Chordata, Actinopteri, Salmoniformes, Salmonidae. The transcript has 14 exons.